Molecule: long non-coding RNA, 711 nt
Organism: Metopolophium dirhodum (rose-grain aphid)
Lineage: Eukaryota; Metazoa; Arthropoda; Insecta; Hemiptera; Aphididae
Exons: 3
Source: RefSeq, a predicted model, not a curated record
AAUAUCAAAUUCCAAUUUAAAAAACUUACUAAUCCAUUUUUCUUCAACUGUAAGCCAUGUUUUAAUAAAAUAAUCUUGUGCCUUAGGAUUUUUCAACCAUACAUCAGUUAACUUCAUCUUCUCAACUUUAUGAAUAAAUUCAAAGUUGUUUCUACUGUUGGAAAUGUUCCUCCAGAGUAUCAGAAGUUCACCUCAAUUUUCUUUAAUAUUCAGAUUUCCCUGUUUAUUAGUCCAUCUUAACCAUGCCUGUUCUCGAUGGAAAUCACAUAUAUUUUGAAUCUUCACAUUGGACAAAAAAUGAAGCAACAACAGAAUAGUUAACGUUGGUUUUUACAACAAGGAGGAUUAAUUGAAGUGUAUAUUUUGUAGUUUUGUAUGCUGCGUCAAGAAAACAUACAUUACCAUAUUGAUUAAAUAUUUUCCAUUGUUCGAUUUUAAUUUGAAGAGCAUUUUGAUCAAUUUUGCUUUGAUGUUUUUGAUAUGUGUUUUUACCGGCGCUUAUGAAAAUUACGGGGAAUUUUAUGAUUUGACCUUCCGAAUGCACCAACUAGAUUCACUUUACCAGCAAACAAGAUACUGUUGAAGAAAAUCGAAGCAGUUUUACAUAAUAUUUUAUGAGUAACCAAGUAGGUCUUUCCACAUAAAAUAGAAAAUAAUAGUACAUAGUGUAGUAUAUUAUAAUAGUAUGGUGUAUAGAUGUAUAAUAGUUAA